This 253-nucleotide ribosomal RNA is filed under the name uncultured bacterium. RNAcentral describes it as "partial 16S ribosomal RNA". It matches the Rfam family "Bacterial small subunit ribosomal RNA", at positions 524 to 776 of the family's 1533-position model. The record is from RNAcentral.
GACGUAGGAGGCGAGCGUUAUCCGGAUUCACUGGGCGUAAAGCGCAUGUAGGCGGUUGCACAAGUCCGUUGUUAAAGCCCCUGGCUCAACUGGGGGAGGUCAAUGGAGACUGUGCGACUUGAGGGCAAUAGAGGCACGUGGAACUCCCGGUGUAGCGGUGGAAUGCGUAGAGAUCGGGAAGAACACCAGUGGCGAAGGCGGCGUGCUGGGUUGCACCUGACGCUGAGAUGCGAAAGUGUGGGGAGCAAACGGG